RNAcentral lists this ribosomal RNA (496 nucleotides) under Termitomyces sp. symbiont of Hypotermes xenotermitis. RNAcentral describes it as "eukaryotic LSU rRNA". It matches the Rfam family "Eukaryotic large subunit ribosomal RNA", at positions 73 to 569 of the family's 3401-position model. Lineage: Eukaryota; Fungi; Basidiomycota; Agaricomycetes; Agaricales; Lyophyllaceae. The record is from RNAcentral.
GAUUCCCCUAGUAACUGCGAGUGAAGCGGGAAAAGCUCAAAUUUAAAAUCUGGUAGUCUUUGGCUGCCCGAGUUGUAAUCUAGAGAAGCAUUAUCUGCGUUGGACUGUGUAUAAGUGUCCUGGAAUGGACCAUCAUAGAGGGUGAGAAUCCCGUCUUUGACACAGACUCCCAGUGCUUUGUGAUGUGCUCUCAAAGAGUCGAGUUGUUUGGGAAUGCAGCUCUAAAUGGGUGGUAAAUUCCAUCUAAAGCUAAAUAUUGGCGAGAGACCGAUAGCGAACAAGUACCGUGAGGGAAAGAUGAAAAGAACUUUGGAAAGAGAGUUAAACAGUACGUGAAAUUGCUGAAAGGGAAACGCUUGAAGUCAGUCGCGUUGGCUGGGGAUCAACCUUGCUUUUGCUUGGCUUACUUCCCAGUUGACGGGUCAGCAUCAGUUUUGACCAGUGGAUAAAGGCUAGGGGAAUGUGGCACCUCCUGGUGUGUUAUAGCCCUUGGUCA